This 733-nucleotide long non-coding RNA is filed under the name Marmota monax (woodchuck). Lineage: Eukaryota; Metazoa; Chordata; Mammalia; Rodentia; Sciuridae. The record is from RNAcentral.
GUUUUAGCAUUCUUUGCCUCCAUUUUACCCAACACCCAGUUUGCACAGUACAUAUUUGUGUGGUUAUGGGGGAAAGUUGACUUCUGUUGGUUCAAAUAAUUUUCUUUUACUUAAGGAGUAUACUUUACCACUUGGAAGCCAUAACAUUCUUUCAGCCAAGAAUUGGUGACCCAUAAAAACUACUUUUAAUUCAUGUUAAACAUACCUAGUAUGAAAUCCUAGCUUAAGUCAGUAUUACAUUUUUUUCUAUAUGCUAGGUAGUGUUUACGUCAUUUCUUUUUAACAUUAAUCUUUCUACCCUUCUUUAGAUACGGAAAUUACUUAAGUAGACUUCCCCAAACUUUGCAUACCUUCACCUCUCCUUCCCUACUCCUCCCACACAUUUACUUGGAGGCAUCACUUAAGCUCAAAGAUUGGGGAAAGAAUUUUCUAACCUUCAAGGCUAUCUCUUCAUGAUUAAUCCAUUACCUAAACAUAAUUUACUUUACUCUUCAAGGGGAGUAGGUUAUGGAUUUUGAAAGGACUGCAGCCAAUAACAGUUACUCUCUCAGCCUUUGAGUGAUUGCUUCUUUCUUCUAGUGACUGCCUCAAGUCCACUGUGUUCAUCGAAAUUCCAGAAUAAACAGUAAUUCAUACUAAUUAGCUCAAACACUUUAACCCAGACCUGACACCCUUUUAUCCUAUUGCUUCCUUAGAAUCUUUCAGGGCAAGUCUGAUCCCUAUUAAAAAAUCC